GGCUGGUCCGAAGAUACUCAGCUACCUCCAUUGAUUGUUCACAACCAGUUACAGAUUGAAUUCCUUGUUCUAUACUUUCCCCUUUUCUCAGUACUGCACUUGACUAGUCUUAA
This 113-nucleotide Y RNA is filed under the name Castor canadensis (American beaver). RNAcentral describes it as "Y RNA (ENSCCNG00000009145.1)". It matches the Rfam family "Y RNA". Rfam says of the family: Y RNAs are components of the Ro ribonucleoprotein particle (Ro RNP), in association with Ro60 and La proteins. The Y RNAs and Ro60 and La proteins are well conserved, but the function of the Ro RNP is not known. In humans the RNA component can be one of four small RNAs -- hY1, hY3, hY4 and hY5. The record is from Rfam by way of RNAcentral. Lineage: Eukaryota; Metazoa; Chordata; Mammalia; Rodentia; Castoridae.